UUGAGGCCGACGAGAGGG
This 18-nucleotide unclassified non-coding RNA is filed under the name Chlamydomonas reinhardtii. RNAcentral's name for it is "small RNA Cre_3908". The record is from RNAcentral. Lineage: Eukaryota; Viridiplantae; Chlorophyta; Chlorophyceae; Chlamydomonadales; Chlamydomonadaceae.